GUCCCCUUCGUCUAGCGGUUGAGGACACCGCCCUUUCACGGCGGAAACACGGGUUCGAUUCCCGUAGGGGACGCCA
Molecule: transfer RNA, 76 nt
Filed under: Alphaproteobacteria bacterium MarineAlpha9_Bin7
Lineage: Bacteria; Pseudomonadati; Pseudomonadota; Alphaproteobacteria
Description: tRNA-Glu
Rfam family: tRNA
About the family: Transfer RNA (tRNA) molecules are approximately 80 nucleotides in length.
Source: RNAcentral